RNAcentral lists this ribosomal RNA (605 nucleotides) under Libnetis sp. UPOL TH0082. RNAcentral's name for it is "partial 16S ribosomal RNA". The stretch from base 379 to 537 matches the Rfam family "Bacterial large subunit ribosomal RNA", at positions 2473 to 2632 of the family's 2925-position model. The record is from RNAcentral. Lineage: Eukaryota; Metazoa; Arthropoda; Insecta; Coleoptera; Lycidae.
CAUGUCUUUUUGAUAAUAAUUUCAAGUCUGGUCUGCUCAAUGAUAAAUUAAAUUGCCGCAGUAUUUUGACUGUGCAAAGGUAGCAUAAUAAUUAGUUUCUUAAUUAGGAGCUUGUAUGAAAGAUUGGACGAGAGGGUUACUGUCUCUUUUUAAUUGUUGUAUAAUUUUAUUAUUAAGUUAAAAAGCUUAAAUUUUUUUAAAAGACGAGAAGACCCUAUAGAGUUUAAUAUAUUUAAAUUAUUGAGUUAUUAGAAAUUUUAAUAGUUUAAUUUAUUUAAUUGGGGUGAUUAAAAGAUUAAAAUAAUUCUUUUAUUAUUUAAUUGAUGAUUAUUAAAUUUAAAUUCUUAAUUUUUGAAGAUUAAAAUAAAUUACCUUAGGGAUAACAGCGUAAUUUUUCUAUAAAGUUCUUAUUAAAAGAAGAGUUUGCGACCUCGAUGUUGGAUUAAAAUUAAUUUUUGGUGAAGAAGCUAAAAAAUUAGGUCUGUUCGACCUUUAAAAUUUUACAUGAUCUGAGUUUAAACCGGUGUAAGCCAGGUUGGAUUCUAUCUUUAAUUUUAUAGAGUUUUUUAGUACGAAAGGACCAAAUACUUAUUAAAUAUUAAUUA